This 2833-nucleotide ribosomal RNA is filed under the name Patescibacteria group bacterium UBA1400. RNAcentral describes it as "bacterial LSU rRNA". It matches the Rfam family "Bacterial large subunit ribosomal RNA". The record is from RNAcentral.
AAAGCAAUCAGUGGAUGCCUAGGAUUUUUGGGCCGAAGAAGGACGCGGAAGACUGCGAUAAGCACCGGGUAGGUGUCAACAACCUUUAAUCCGGUGAUGUCCGAAUGGGGAAACCUGCUUUAUCUUUAGAUAAAGCUUUUUAAGACUAAUUCAUAAUCUUAAAAAGGUAACCUGGGGAACUGAAAUAUCUAAGUACCCAGAGGAAUAGAAAUCACAGAGAUUCCCUUAGUAGCGACGAGCGAAACGGGAACAGCCUAAACCUUAAGUUUUCUUAAGGGGUUGUAGGACCUUAAUAUGAGACUUUUUUAAAUAGAAGAAUGUUCUGGAAAGGACAGCCAAAGAAAGUGAUAGCCUUGUAUUUAAAAUUUAAAAAAGCUCUAAAGGAUUCCUGAGUACCACAGGAGACGGCAAACUCCGGUGGGAAUCUGGGGGCGACCACGCUCCAAGGCUAAAUACCCAAAAAUACCGAUAGUGAACUAGUACCAUGAGGGAAAGGUUAAAAGAAGGGUUAAUGACCCAGUGAAAUAGAACCUGAAACUGUUUGCUAACAAACAGUCGGAGUCCAUUUUUUAAUGGAUGACGGCGUGCCUAUUGAAGAAUGAACCGGCGAGUUUCUCGUUAACUGUUAGUCUAACCAAUUUUAUUGGGAAGGCGUAGUGAAAGCAAGGCUUAAAUGGCCAUUUAGCAGUUAGCGGAAGACCCGAAACCAGGCGAGCUACCCAUGGACAGGGUGAACCUUGUAGAAAUACAGGGGGAGGCCCGAACCUAUUGCUGCUGCAAAAGCAUUGGACGAUCUGUGGGUAGGAGUAAUAUGCUAAGCGUGCCUGGAGAUAGCUGGUUCUCCCCGAAAUAUAUUUAGGUAUAGCGUCUUAGAUUAAACCAAAGGGGUAGAGCACUGGAUAAAUAUGGGGUAUUUAUAUCUCAUCUUUAACCAAACUCCGAAUACUUUGGCGUUACUAAGGCAGUCAGCGGCUGGGGGCUAAGCUCCAGUUGCUAGAGGGAAACAACCCAGACCCUCGUUUAAGGUCUCUAAUUUUUGGUUAAGUCAAAGGAAGUCAUUGAUCUCAGACAGCCAGGAGGUCGGCUUAGAAGCAGCCAUCCUUGAAAGAAAGCGUAACAGCUCACUGGUCGAUUUGGAUUGAUGGCGCCUAAAAUUUAAGAGAAUUAAACCAAAAACCGAAAUCAGGGUUCAAGUUUAACUUGAAGGUAGGGGAGCGUUCUAUGUUUGUUGAAGCUAAAUUGGAAAGUUUAGUGGAGAGCAUAGAAGUGAGAAUGCCGGUAUGAGUAGCGCAAUUCUGGUGAGAAACCAGAACGUCGAAUGUCUAAGGUUUCCUCAGCAACGUUUGUCGGCUGAGGGUUAGUCGACCCUAAGGGGUAGCCAAGAGGCGGACCCGAUGGAUAACAGGUUGAUAUUCCUGUACUAUUAUUAUUUCGUUAUCACUUAUGACAGGACGAUAAGGGAAAAAUGAGCGGUGCGUUGAAGUUGCAUUCGUUCAAUUAACAAAACAGUUUUAACAGGAAAAUCCGUUAAAACGACGUUGAGUUAAAAUAAAAAGAUUUACUUUUAGUAAGUCAAUUCAAAAAUUUUCUUUAUCCGAGAAAAGUGUCUUAAGGAGAAAUAAUGGUAAUCGUACCGCAAACCGACACAGGUGGACAGGUCGAGAAGACCAAGACGAACGGGAAAACUGUCUCUAAGGAACUCGGCAAAUAAGCUGGACGUAACUUAGGGAGAUGUCCUACCUAUAAAGCUUUAGCUUUAUAGGUCACAGCAAAAGAAUCUCAAGCGACUGUUUAACAAAAACACAGGUCUCUGCAAAGGCGAAAGCCAAAGUAUAGGGGCUGAAACCUGCCCAGUGCCGGAAGGUUAAUAGAGGGUAUAGCUAGUUUACUAGUAGUGUCCGAUUGAAGCCCCGGUGAACGGCAGCAGUAACUAUAACUGUUCUAUGGUAGCGAAGUACCUUGUCGGGUAAGUUCCGACGCGCACGAAAGGUUCAACGACUUGAGAACUGUCUUGGGGACAGACCCGGCGAAAUUGAAAUGGCUGUGAAGAUGCGGCCUACCUACUGCAGGACAAAAAGACCCCGUGGAGCUUUACUGUAACUUGGCACUGAAAUCAAUUUGUCAAUUGUCGAGAAUAGGCAGGAGGUUUGGUCAUUGAUCAAACCGAUAGUGGAAUACUGCUCUUUGGCAGUUUGCUUUCUAACCUAAAAACCCUUUAAGGGGUUUGGGGACAGUGUCUGGUGGGCAGUUUAACUGGGGAGGUUGCUUGCUAAAAAGUACCGCAAGCGCACAAAGGUAGCCUUAGCUUGGAUGGAAACCAAGCUGUAAGUGUAAAGGCAUAAAGGUUGCUUAACUGUUAGGCAUACUAGCCAAGCAGGAACGAAAGUUGGUCUUAGUGAUCCUCGAGUGCCAUGUGGAAGGCACCGGGCUUAUCGGAUAAAAGCUACCCCGGGGAUAACAGNNNNNNCCAAGGGUUGGUCUGUUCGCCCAUUAAAACCCUACGUGAGCUGGGUUCAGAACGUCGUAAGACAGUUCGGUCUCUAUCCGCAGUAGGCGUAGGAUACUUGAAGGAAUUCGUCCACAGUACGAGAGGACCUGGAUGAGCUAAUCCCUGAUGUGCCAGUUGUUGCUGUCAAGCGCAUAGCUGGGUAGUCACAUUGGUUGUGGAUAACCGCUGAAAGCAUCUCAAGCGGGAAGCCAUUCCUAAGAUGAGGUAUCCUUUCUGGCUUUGCCAGAUGAAGAUCCCUGGAAGAUUACCAGGUAUAUAGGCUGAAAGUGUAAGUAUAGUAAUAUAUUUAGCUAAUCAGUACUAAUAGAUCGAAAGAGUAACUGU